CGAUCCGUAGCGGGUCUGAGAGGAUGACUCCGCCACACUGGGACUGAGACACGGCCAGACUCCGUACGGAGGCAGCAGUGGGGAAUUUGGACAAGUGGGCGCAAGCCUGAUCCAGCCAUGCCGCGUGAGUGAAGAAGGCCUUCGGGUUGUAAAGCUCUUUCGGCUGGGAAGAAAUCGCAUCUCCUAAUACGGGGUGUGGAUGACGGUACCAGCAUAAGAAGCACCGGCUAACUACGUGCCAGCAGCCGCGGUAAUACGUAGGGUGCGAGCGUUAAUCGGAAUUACUGGGCGUAAAGCGUGCGCAGGCGGUUUCGUAAGACAGAGGUGAAAUCCCCGGGCUCAACCUGGGAACUGCCUUUGUGACUGCGAGGCUAGAGUAUGGCAGAGGGGGUGGAAUUCCACGUGUAGCAGUGAAAUGCGUAGAGAUGUGGAGGAACACCGAUGGCGAAGGCAGCCCCCUGGGCCAAUACUGACGCUUAUGCACGAAAGCGUGGGG
Molecule: ribosomal RNA, 496 nt
Filed under: uncultured bacterium
Lineage: Bacteria
Description: bacterial SSU rRNA
Rfam family: Bacterial small subunit ribosomal RNA
Source: RNAcentral